Molecule: RNA transcript, 449 nt
Organism: Arabidopsis thaliana (thale cress)
Lineage: Eukaryota; Viridiplantae; Streptophyta; Magnoliopsida; Brassicales; Brassicaceae
Exons: 1
Source: RefSeq
AAAAAAAAUUUUUUUUACCAAAAAACAAAUUAGACUUUAAACCAAUCAAACAUGCGCUUUCGUGGUGUCAAAUUACCUUCUAAGUAAAUUCCAUCAAGUUUAGCAAUCCAUCUACGUAUCUGACCACAUCGUCGAGUAGACCCUCCUCUGUAUGCUCUCCAUAAGAUAUGAUGAUUUUGCAUGUUAGGACCUUGUCAUAAGAGACACUUCCAUAUUGUUCUAUCGAACGGAUUUUCGUUGAAUCUCCAUUCCGUAAUUUUCAUGAACGCCACAUCUCUAACUUCCGUUUUGUCGCUUUUGGAUAUACAAUUGACUUUGAGAAUGCUCCCAGGUUUGAGUUCAUUUUGAAAUGCUAAAAUGCUUUCGUCACAAAAAAAUUCUGCUUCAUUCAAACAAAAAUACAUCGAAAGGAAUGACAUGAUGAAAACUAUGAGAUGAUUCAUUUUUUU